GAUGAACGCUGGCGGCGUGCCUAAUACAUGCAAUUCGAGCGAACGGACGAGAAGCUUGCUUCUCUGAUGUUAGCGGCGGACGGGUGAGUAACACGUGGAUAACCUACCUAUAAGACUGGGAUAACUUCGGGAAACCGUAGCUAAUACCGGAUAAUAUUUUGAACCGCAUGGUUCAAAAGUGAAAGACGGUCUUGCUGUCACUUAUAGAUGGAUCCGCGCUGCAUUAGCUAGUUGGUAAGGUAACGGCUUACCAAGGCAACGAUGCAUAGCCGACCUGAGAGGGUGAUCGGCCACACUGGAACUGAGACACGGUCCAGACUCCUACGGGAGGCAGCAGUAGGGAAUCUUCCGCAAUGGGCGAAAGCCUGACGGAGCAACGCCGCGUGAGUGAUGAAGGUCUUCGGAUCGUAAAACUCUGUUAUUAGGGAAGAACAUAUGUGUAAGUAACUGUGCACAUCUUGACGGUACCUAAUCAGAAAGCCACGGCUAACUACGUG
This 497-nucleotide ribosomal RNA is filed under the name uncultured bacterium. RNAcentral's name for it is "partial 16S ribosomal RNA". It matches the Rfam family "Bacterial small subunit ribosomal RNA", at positions 28 to 507 of the family's 1533-position model. The record is from RNAcentral.